This 445-nucleotide long non-coding RNA is filed under the name Setaria viridis. RNAcentral's name for it is "long non-coding RNA (SVIR_LNC004054)". The record is from RNAcentral. Lineage: Eukaryota; Viridiplantae; Streptophyta; Magnoliopsida; Poales; Poaceae.
UUGGGGAGGGCAUUGAUGAUCUACAAGAGGCAGUAGAAAAUCUAGCUAUUUGAGGUCCAUGAUACAAGCUACUGCCACCCAUAUGUGCACCUAGUGCCUCAUAUAGUAGACAAGCAACGGUCGAGGUGAUGUUGAGUUGUGAAGUUUGCAAUGACUGAUUGGUGUGUAGCAUUUGAGUAGCGGCUUGGAGUUUGUAGUGUUUUGAGUAGUGCCGCGCGUGUUUGUUGGAGUUGCUUAGGGUUGGGUUCUUGUUAUUUUUGUUGUUUUUUAUUUGUUGUAUCGCCCAAUCUAGGCUCUCAUCUUAUUUUUAUUAUAAUCGACAGCUCUCUUGCCUAGUUCGUUUCAAAAAGAUGAAAACGUGAACAACAGAUCAUUCGGCGUUCAACUUUUUUUUAGCAAAAUUGUUGGUAAUACGUAGUUUUGGUAUAUAUACCCCUCCACUUUG